AGAGUUUGAUUCUGGCUCAGGAUGAACGCUAGCGAUAGGCCUAACACAUGCAAGUCGAGGGGCAGCACAUGAAGUAGCAAUACGGAUGGUGGCGACCGGCGCACGGGUGAGUAACGCGUAUGCAACCUGCCUACAACAGGGGAAUAACCCGUUGAAAGACGGACUAAUACCCCAUAACACAGGGAUCCCGCAUGGGAAUAUUUGUUAAAGAUUUAUCGGUUGUAGAUGGGCAUGCGUUCCAUUAGCUGGUUGGUGAGGUAACGGCUCACCAAGGCAACGAUGGAUAGGGGAACUGAGAGGUUUAUCCCCCACACUGGUACUGAGACACGGACCAGACUCCUACGGGAGGCAGCAGUGAGGAAUAUUGGUCAAUGGACGCAAGUCUGAACCAGCCACGUCGCGUGAAGGAAGACGGCCCUACGGGUUGUAAACUUCUUUUGUAAGGGAAUAAAGUGCAGUACGUGUACUGUUUUGCAUGUACCUUACGAAUAAGGAUCGGCUAACUCCGUGCCAGCAGCCGCGGUAAUACGGAGGAUCCGAGCGUUAUCCGGAUUUAUUGGGUUUAAAGGGUGCGCAGGCGGGAGAUUAAGUCGGCGGUGAAAUUUUGCAGCUCAACUGUAAAAGUGCCUUCGAAACUGGUUUUCUUGAGUGUGGAUGAAGUAGGCGGAAUUUGUGGUGUAGCGGUGAAAUGCAUAGAUAUCACGAGGAACUCCGAUUGCGCAGGCAGCUUACUAAACCAUAACUGACGCUCAGGCACGAAGGCGUGGGGAUCAAACAGGAUUAGAUACCCUGGUAGUC
This 798-nucleotide ribosomal RNA is filed under the name uncultured Proteiniphilum sp. Its description in RNAcentral is "bacterial SSU rRNA". It matches the Rfam family "Bacterial small subunit ribosomal RNA", at positions 8 to 795 of the family's 1533-position model. The record is from RNAcentral. Lineage: Bacteria; Pseudomonadati; Bacteroidota; Bacteroidia; Bacteroidales; Dysgonomonadaceae.